This 70-nucleotide transfer RNA is filed under the name Cynoglossus zanzibarensis (Zanzibar tonguesole). Its description in RNAcentral is "tRNA-Glu". It matches the Rfam family "tRNA". Rfam says of the family: Transfer RNA (tRNA) molecules are approximately 80 nucleotides in length. Their secondary structure includes four short double-helical elements and three loops (D, anti-codon, and T loops). Further hydrogen bonds mediate the characteristic L-shaped molecular structure. tRNAs have two regions of fundamental functional importance: the anti-codon, which is responsible for specific mRNA codon recognition, and the 3' end, to which the tRNAs corresponding amino acid is attached (by aminoacyl-tRNA synthetases). tRNAs cope with the degeneracy of the genetic code in two manners: having more than one tRNA (with a specific anti-codon) for a particular amino acid; and 'wobble' base-pairing, i.e. permitting non-standard base-pairing at the 3rd anti-codon position. Lineage: Eukaryota; Metazoa; Chordata; Actinopteri; Pleuronectiformes; Cynoglossidae. The record is from RNAcentral.
GUUUUUGUAGUUGAAUAUACAACAGUGGUUUUUCAUUCCAUCGGUUUUGGUUAAAGGCCAAAUAAGAACU